GAUGAACGCUGGCGGCGUGCUUAACACAUGCAAGUCGAACGGAAAGGCCUCUGCUUGCAGGGGUACUCGAGUGGCGAACGGGUGAGUAACACGUGGGUGAUCUGCCCUGCACUUCGGGAUAAGCCUGGGAAACUGGGUCUAAUACCGGAUAGGACAAUGGUUUGGAUGCUGUUGUGGAAAGUUUUUCGGUGUGGGCUGAGCUCGCGGCCUAUCAGCUUGUUGGUGGGGUAAUGGCCUACCAAGGCGUCGACGGGUAGCCGGCCUGAGAGGGUGUACGGCCACAUUGGAACUGGGAUGCGGCCCACACUCCUGCGGGUGGCAGCAGGGGGGAAUAUUGGACAAUGGGCGCAAGCCUGAUGCAGCGACGCCGCGUGGGGGAUGACGGCCUUCGGGUGGUAAACUCCUUUCGCUAGGGACGAAGCGUUUUUGUGACGGUACCUGGAGAAGAAGCACCGGCUAACUACGUG
This 467-nucleotide ribosomal RNA is filed under the name uncultured bacterium. RNAcentral describes it as "partial 16S ribosomal RNA". It matches the Rfam family "Bacterial small subunit ribosomal RNA", at positions 28 to 507 of the family's 1533-position model. The record is from RNAcentral.